CGUGUAGGAAGAAAGCCCUAUGGGUGGUAAACUACUUUUAUACAGGAAAAAACACUGGUACGUGUACCAGAUUGACCGGACUGUUCCAAUACAGACCGGCUAACUCUAUGCCAGCCGCCGCGGUAAU
RNAcentral lists this ribosomal RNA (127 nucleotides) under uncultured Bacteroidota bacterium. RNAcentral describes it as "uncultured Bacteroidetes bacterium partial 16S ribosomal RNA". It matches the Rfam family "Bacterial small subunit ribosomal RNA", at positions 400 to 524 of the family's 1533-position model. Lineage: Bacteria; Pseudomonadati; Bacteroidota. The record is from RNAcentral.